UCCAGCUCAAGGGUGGACCUGACUCACCCUGUAAUUAUGAUAGUGUGUCUCCACGAGAUGCUUAUGGCGAGACUUGUCGUGGCCGAAGUUGGAUUUCUCACAGACCAAUAGAUUUCCAGCAGAAGCUGUGGCCCAGAUUAAAGCUGUGUCCUCCUGCCCAAAGAGCUGAAUUAAAGACAUCUUCCUGCCUGUCUUUCUGCCUGGAGAUCUGAAUCAAAGAUAUGUCUUCUACCUCAAAGGUCCAGACUAGAAGUGGAUUCACCCUCUUCAAACCAAGCAAAAACAUCUCUCACAGUGCUCUUGGAAGGUCUGCCCCUACUUUGGGAAGCUGUCAUGGUCUCUGGGGAGGAUCAUCUCCACCUCAUACCCACGUGGACACAAAGUGGACCUGGUGGACUUUGAACAGCUCCAGAAGUCCCUUUGCCUACUUGCAGGAUUCUCCUGUCCUCUCCAAGCCCAGGAACCUUACGCACACCUACCUCGUUCUGCCCUGCCCAGGUAUAGGCCGUUUAAUCAACCAAUCAG
Meriones unguiculatus (Mongolian gerbil) is the source of this 525-nucleotide long non-coding RNA. RefSeq lists it as uncharacterized. NCBI's taxonomy places the organism in Eukaryota, Metazoa, Chordata, Mammalia, Rodentia, Muridae. The record is from RefSeq and is a predicted model, not a curated record. The transcript has 4 exons.